RNAcentral lists this ribosomal RNA (253 nucleotides) under uncultured bacterium. Its description in RNAcentral is "partial 16S ribosomal RNA". It matches the Rfam family "Bacterial small subunit ribosomal RNA", at positions 524 to 776 of the family's 1533-position model. The record is from RNAcentral.
AACGUAGGUGGCGAGCGUUAUCCGGAUUCAUUGGGCGUAAAGCGCUUGUAGGUGGCUGCAUAAGUUGGACGUGAAAGCUCCGGGCUUAACUUGGAGAGGCCGUUCAAGACUGUGUGGCUGGAGGGUGUCAGAGGGAAGUAGAAUUCCUGGUGUAGCAGUGAAAUGCGUAGAGAUCAGGAGGAAUACCCGUGGCGAAGGCGGCUUCCUGGGACACACCUGACACUGAGAAGCGAAAGCUAGGGGAGCAAACGGG